RNAcentral lists this ribosomal RNA (689 nucleotides) under Salmonella enterica subsp. enterica. Its description in RNAcentral is "partial 23S ribosomal RNA". It matches the Rfam family "Bacterial large subunit ribosomal RNA", at positions 1084 to 1693 of the family's 2925-position model. Lineage: Bacteria; Pseudomonadati; Pseudomonadota; Gammaproteobacteria; Enterobacterales; Enterobacteriaceae. The record is from RNAcentral.
CCCAGACAGCCAGGAUGUUGGCUUAGAAGCAGCCAUCAUUUAAAGAAAGCGUAAUAGCUCACUGGUCGAGUCGGCCUGCGCGGAAGAUGUAACGGGGCUAAACCAUGCACCGAAGCUGCGGCAGCGAACGUAUCACUUAAAGCGAUUCAGCGGGUUACGAUUGACGGAGCGAAGCGACGUCAAAGCGUAUACAAAGUCGAGUCGGUUUAAGGAUACGUUCGUUGGGUAGGGGAGCGUUCUGUAAGCCUGCGAAGGUGGCCUGUGAGGGUUGCUGGAGGUAUCAGAAGUGCGAAUGCUGACAUAAGUAACGAUAAAGCGGGUGAAAAGCCCGCUCGCCGGAAGACCAAGGGUUCCUGUCCAACGUUAAUCGGGGCAGGGUGAGUCGACCCCUAAGGCGAGGCCGAAAGGCGUAGUCGAUGGGAAACGGGUUAAUAUUCCCGUACUUGGUGUUACUGCGAAGGGGGGACGGAGAAGGCUAUGUUGGCCGGGCGACGGUUGUCCCGGUUUAAGCGUGUAGGCUGGUUUUCCAGGCAAAUCCGGAAAAUCAAGGCUGAGGCGUGAUGACGAGGCACUACGGUGCUGAAGCAACAAAUGCCCUGCUUCCAGGAAAAGCCUCUAAGCAUCAGGUAACAUCAAAUCGUACCCCAAACCGACACAGGUGGUCAGGUAGAGAAUACCAAGGCGCUUGA